Molecule: ribosomal RNA, 2796 nt
Filed under: Sphingobium chlorophenolicum
Lineage: Bacteria; Pseudomonadati; Pseudomonadota; Alphaproteobacteria; Sphingomonadales; Sphingobiaceae
Description: bacterial LSU rRNA
Rfam family: Bacterial large subunit ribosomal RNA
Source: RNAcentral
UCAAGCGUGAGGUAAGGGCAUCUGGUGAAUGCCUUGGCAUGUACAGGCGAUGAAGGACGUGGCACGCUGCGAUAAGCGUGGGGGAGCUGUGAGCAAGCUUUGAUCCCGCGAUUUCCGAAUGGGACAACCCACCUUCACCAUUUAAUCCUUGUCCUGAGGAAACUCAGGAUCAGCGGUUAAAUGGGAGAGGUAUCACUAAGCUGAAUAAAAUAGGCUUUGGUGAGGCGAACCCGGAGAACUGAAACAUCUCAGUACCCGGAGGAAAAGACAUCAACCGAGAUUCCGUUAGUAGUGGCGAGCGAACGCGGACCAGGCCAGUGCCGACUUCUUAAUUAGCAGAACCUUCUGGAAAGUAGGGCCAUAGCGGGUGACAGCCCCGUAUGCGAAAAUGAAGAUGUCGGACUUGAGUAGGGCGGAGCACGUGAAACUCUGUCUGAACAUGGGGGGACCACCCUCCAAGCCUAAAUACUCGUACAUGACCGAUAGCGAACCAGUACCGUGAGGGAAAGGUGAAAAGCACCCCGAUGAGGGGAGUGAAACAGUACCUGAAACCGGAUGCCUACAAGCAGUGGGAGGGUCCUUGAGACCUGACCGCGUACCUCUUGCAUAAUGGGUCUGUGACUUAGUGUAUCGAGCAAGCUUAAGCCGUUAGGUGUAGGCGCAGCGAAAGCGAGUCUGAAUAGGGCGACUGAGUUCGAUGCAUUAGACCCGAAACCCGGCGAUCUAGGCAUGACCAGGUUGAAGGUGCGGUAACACGCACUGGAGGACCGAACCGUUUAAUGUUGAAAAAUUAUCGGAUGAGUUGUGUUUAGGGGUGAAAGGCCAAUCAAGCCGGGAAAUAGCUGGUUCUCCGCGAAAUCUAUUGAGGUAGAGCGUCGAAUGAUUGCCGUUGGGGGUAGAGCACUGGAUGGAUGCGGGGGUCGCGAGAUCUACCAACUCUAACCAAACUCCGAAUACCAACGAGUCUAGUUCGGCAGACAGACGGCGGGUGCUAAGGUCCGUCGUCAAAAGGGAAACAGCCCUAACCUACAGCUAAGGUCCCCAAGUCACGUCUAAGUGGGAAAGCAUGUGGGAUUUCCAAAACAACCAGGAGGUUGGCUUAGAAGCAGCCAUCCUUUAAAGAAAGCGUAACAGCUCACUGGUCUAAAUAAGAGAUCCUGCGGCGAAGAUGUAACGGGGCUCAAGACGUGCACCGAAGCUUAGGGUUCAGUCUUUGACUGAGCGGUAGCGGAGCGUUCCGUAGGCCGUUGAAGCGAUCUGGUAAUGGGUCGUGGAGGUAUCGGAAGUGCGAAUGCAGACAUGAGUAGCGAUUAACAGUGUGAGAUGCACUGUCGCCGAAAUUCCAAGGGUUCCUGCUUAAAGCUAAUCUGAGCAGGGUAAGCCGGCCCCUAAGACGAGCCCGAAGGGGGUAGUCGAUGGGAACCACGUUAAUAUUCGUGGGCCUGGAGGUGUGUGACGGAUGGCGUAAAUUGUUCGGCCUUAUUGGAUUGGUCCGGGCAGUGAAGUUGUCCCAGGAAAUAGCCCCUCCGUAUAGACCGUACCCUAAACCGACACAGGUGGAAUGGUAGAGUAUACCAAGGCGUUUGAGAGAAGUAUCCUGAAGGAACUCGGCAAAUUGCCUCCGUACCUUCGGAAGAAGGAGGCCCCACAUAUGCGCAAGCACUUGUGGGGGGCACAGGCCAGGGGGUAGCGACUGUUUAGCAAAAACACAGGGCUCUGCUAAGUCGGCUUCAAGACGACGUAUAGGGCCUGACGCCUGCCCGGUGCCUGAAGGUUAAGAGGAGGAGUGCAAGCUCUGAAUUGAAGCCCAGGUAAACGGCGGCCGUAACUAUAACGGUCCUAAGGUAGCGAAAUUCCUUGUCGGGUAAGUUCCGACCUGCACGAAUGGCGUAACGACUUCCCCACUGUCUCCAGGAUAUGCUCAGCGAAAUUGAAUUCUCCGUGAAGAUGCGGAGUACCCGCGGUUAGACGGAAAGACCCCGUGCACCUUUACUGCAGCUUCAGAGUGGCAUUAGGAAAGAACUGUGUAGCAUAGGUGGGAGGCUUUGAAGCGAUGACGCCAGUUGUCGUGGAGCCAUAGGUGAAAUACCACCCUGUUGUUUUCUGAUGUCUAACCUCGCACCGUUAUCCGGUGCAGGGACCCUCUGUGGCGGGUAGUUUGACUGGGGCGGUCGCCUCCUAAAGAGUAACGGAGGCGCGCGAUGGUGGGCUCAGGACGGUUGGAAACCGUCUGUUAGAGUGCAAUGGCAUAAGCCCGCCUGACUGCGAGACUGACAAGUCGAGCAGAGACGAAAGUCGGUCAUAGUGAUCCGGUGGUCCCUCGUGGAAGGGCCAUCGCUCAACGGAUAAAAGGUACGCCGGGGAUAACAGGCUGAUGAUUCCCAAGAGCUCAUAUCGACGGAAUCGUUUGGCACCUCGAUGUCGGCUCAUCACAUCCUGGGGCUGGAGCAGGUCCCAAGGGUUUGGCUGUUCGCCAAUUAAAGUGGUACGUGAGCUGGGUUCAGAACGUCGCGAGACAGUUUGGUCCCUAUCUGCCGUGGGCGUCGAAAUUUGAGAGGAGUUGACCCUAGUACGAGAGGACCGGGUUGAACAUACCUCUGGUGUACCUGUCGUCGUGCCAACGGCGCAGCAGGGUAGCUAUGUAUGGACGGGAUAACCGCUGAAAGCAUCUAAGCGGGAAGCCUCCCUCAAGAUAAGAUUUCUUCGAGCGGUCGUAGACCACGACCUUGAUAGGCCGGAUGUGGAAGUGUGGUAACAUAUGGAGCUAACCGGUCCUAAUUGCUCUGAUCGCGCCUG